This 22-nucleotide small nuclear RNA is filed under the name Arabidopsis thaliana (thale cress). RNAcentral describes it as "snRNA_00036". Lineage: Eukaryota; Viridiplantae; Streptophyta; Magnoliopsida; Brassicales; Brassicaceae. The record is from RNAcentral.
AAGGCUUCCUAGAAGAUUAAUC